Non-coding RNA from Pelobates cultripes (western spadefoot toad), 296 nucleotides. NCBI's taxonomy places the organism in Eukaryota, Metazoa, Chordata, Amphibia, Anura, Pelobatidae. The record is from the annotation of a GenBank genome assembly.
CGGUUUGUGACUUCCACCUGGCUGGGAUCAGGCUUUUGGCAGCGUUUAGGAAUGCGUGUGGGACUUCUUGUACACCCCAAUUGGCAUCUUGGUGUGAUGGAGCAACAUUGGGAGAGGUUGCAAUUGUAUGUCCGAAUCCAAAAUAUCUAUCAGCUUUCUAUGUAUUUGUUGCCAAAAGACAGCUAUUUGUGGGCACGACCACCAAUUGUGUAGAUUCGUACCCUCAGCCGCACCGCAUCUCCAUAGGGCUGUCGGUUUUAUGUCCAUGCGGAACAGCUGUGCAGGUGUCCUGUACC